RNAcentral lists this long non-coding RNA (241 nucleotides) under Ananas comosus (pineapple). Its description in RNAcentral is "long non-coding RNA (ACOM_LNC006310)". The record is from RNAcentral. Lineage: Eukaryota; Viridiplantae; Streptophyta; Magnoliopsida; Poales; Bromeliaceae.
AUAUGAAUUUUUAAUAUCAUUUUGUAAAUGAAAACGAGCAUUUUAAACUGAUAGACUUGUUAAGAUUAUUACUAAAUUUGUAAAUUGAUCUUCUGAAAAGCAUACUACCAGAGACAAAAUCUAAGUACCUCACGUUAUGAGAUGUUUAUAAAUCAAUAUUUUAUGACAAAUAUUUUUGUUUAGCUCUUCAGUUAUAAAUCAAUACUUUAUGACAAAUAUUAUCUUUUUUGUUAGCUCUUCA